Molecule: non-coding RNA, 435 nt
Organism: Nicotiana tabacum (common tobacco)
Lineage: Eukaryota; Viridiplantae; Streptophyta; Magnoliopsida; Solanales; Solanaceae
Source: RefSeq, a predicted model, not a curated record
CUAAUAUGUUGAUUAUUGUAAUACCUAUAUUUUAAAUAAGGAUGUAUUGGUCAUUAGCCAAAAAAAAAAAGGGAAGCAAAACAAAUAAAAUAAGAUCAAAAGAAUAAAAUAAUACAAAAGAAGGGAAAUAUGCUAAAGCCCAUCAGAUUGUGGCGUUCAAUAAGGGAUUGAAAACCCUUAGCCACUAAAGCAUCAAACUUAGAAAAGUUUCGCUGCUUAUAGGAGCAACAUCGUGAUUAAUCAAAAAGGAAAUUGGCAUAUAUUUUCGAGCCUCAACAAUAGAGUUCCAGAUUGCACACGAAUUGAGCAAUUGGAUCAAUAGGAAGUCGAGCUUUGGUUAGUUGGCUUUGAGAGAGAUAGCAGUUGACGCGGGCGAGAAUUUCAUCAAUUAGAGCGCACAAGUUGAUAGUUCUUGGUGAGCCUCGCACUUGUUCG